UGAAAGCAUCUAAGCGGGAAGCACGUUUCAAGAUGAGGUUUCCCCACCCCUUGAGGGUGUAAGGCCCCCAACAGACUAUUGGGUUGAUAGGCCGGAGGUGUACAGCAGCAAUGCCCAGCCGACCGGUACUAAUAGGCCGAACACU
RNAcentral lists this ribosomal RNA (145 nucleotides) under Anophryoides haemophila. RNAcentral describes it as "partial Bacterial large subunit ribosomal RNA". It matches the Rfam family "Bacterial large subunit ribosomal RNA", at positions 2772 to 2912 of the family's 2925-position model. Lineage: Eukaryota; Ciliophora; Oligohymenophorea; Philasterida; Glauconematidae. The record is from RNAcentral.